AUUGAACGCUGGCGGCAGGCCUUACACAUGCAAGUCGAACGAGUGGCGGACGGGUGAGUAAUGUCUGGGAAACUGCCUGAUGGAGGGGGAUAACUACUGGAAACGGUAGCUAAUACCGCAUACCAUCGGAUGUGCCAAGAUGGGAUUAGCUAGUAGGUGGGGUAAAGGAUCACCUAGGCGACGAUCCCUAGCUGGUCUGAGAGGAUGACCAGCCACACUGGAACUGAGACACGGCCCAGACUCCUACGGGAGGCAGCAGUGGGGAAUAUUGGACAAUGGGCGAAAGCCUGAUGCAGCCAUCCCGCGUGUAGGAAGAAGGCCUUCGGGUUGUAAAGUACUUUCAGCAGAGAAGCGUUACCUGCAGAAGAAGCACCGGCUAACUCCGUGCCAGCAGCCGCGGUAAUUC
This 406-nucleotide ribosomal RNA is filed under the name uncultured bacterium. Its description in RNAcentral is "partial 16S ribosomal RNA". It matches the Rfam family "Bacterial small subunit ribosomal RNA", at positions 30 to 526 of the family's 1533-position model. The record is from RNAcentral.